CCCACAGAAAAGAUUUCUUCGGUGUUAGGAAAAUAAAUAGACUACAUAGCACUUUCUCGGUGAUUCAAAAUGAAACACGUUCUCAUAUCCAAACUCUAGACACUUGCUUGGGUUAGGUUAAGAAUGGAGCUCAACAGUAAUGACAAGGAGGGGAGGAAGAAUGGGGAGAGGAGGAAUAAGAAGGGAAGGGGAAGACGAGGAGAGGGGGAAAGGAUUCCCUACUUAACACAUCCGCUCCUCAAGCCUAUUUCAGUAUGGACAGGACAGUUUAAGGAUUACCUGCCUAACCCAUCUCCUUCUCCAGUCUACUUCAGUAUAGACGGCUUUGUGUGGUUCCAGUCGUGUUGUGGGCAGAAGAAUGGGAGAAAGGCUGAUCUAUGCUCCACUCAUCAACUGGAAGCAGAACAACCUUCUCUGACUUCACUGUCUCCUCUUACCAAGCUGUAAACUCAUUGGCUCUUUCCAAUCCUCACCAAGAUGGUAGCCUUCCAACAGAGCCCUACUCACGAGUGCCAAACUUGACACAUGUACCAUUCCCACACUGGUAGAGGGAAUAAUCAAGGAUGUCUUCUAUGCUUGGCAGUGGAGAUAUGGGGCCAUUCGUACGACUAUGAAUAUCUCCAUCUGCAAUUGCAGGCAGUAUGCAUUUGGGACUCUGAUGGAUAAAGGCUGGGGCUGGUUCCCUGGGUUCUCAAAGACCUCUAAGGUCCCUUGAAGCUCUAAAUGACAGUGCA
Molecule: long non-coding RNA, 734 nt
Organism: Mus musculus (house mouse)
Lineage: Eukaryota; Metazoa; Chordata; Mammalia; Rodentia; Muridae
Product: predicted gene, 51628
Exons: 3
Source: RefSeq, a predicted model, not a curated record